RNAcentral lists this ribosomal RNA (429 nucleotides) under Chloroflexota bacterium. Its description in RNAcentral is "Chloroflexi bacterium partial 16S ribosomal RNA". It matches the Rfam family "Bacterial small subunit ribosomal RNA", at positions 355 to 776 of the family's 1533-position model. The record is from RNAcentral. Lineage: Bacteria; Bacillati; Chloroflexota.
UGGGGAAUAUUGCACAAUGGGCGCAAGCCUUAUGCAGCCAUGCCGCGUGUAUGAAGAAGGCCUUCGGGUUGUAAAGUACUUUCAGCGGGGAGGAAGGGAGUAAAGUUAAUACCUUUGCUCAUUGACGUUACCCGCAGACGAAGCACCGGCUAACUCCGUGCCAGCAGCCGCGGUAAUACGGAGGGUGCAAGCGUUAAUCGGAAUUACUGGGCGUAAAGCGCACGCAGGCGGUUUGUUAAGUCAGAUGUGAAAUCCCCGGGCUCAACCUGGGAACUGCAUCGGAUACUGGCAAGCUUGAGUCUCGUAGAGGGGGGUAGAAGUACAGUUGAAGCGGUGAAAUGAGUAGAGAUCUGGAGGAAUACCGGUGGCGAAGGCGGCCCCCUGGACGAAGACUGACGCUCAGGUGCGAAAGCGUGGGGAGCAAACAGG